Molecule: ribosomal RNA, 101 nt
Filed under: Streptomyces swartbergensis
Lineage: Bacteria; Bacillati; Actinomycetota; Actinomycetes; Kitasatosporales; Streptomycetaceae
Description: partial 23S ribosomal RNA
Rfam family: Bacterial large subunit ribosomal RNA
Source: RNAcentral
UAAGGCUCCCAGUAGACGACUGGGUUGAUAGGCCGGAUAUGGAAGCACGGUAACGUGUGGAGUUGACCGGUACUAAUAGGCCGAGGGCUUGUCCUCAGUUG